RNAcentral lists this ribosomal RNA (468 nucleotides) under uncultured bacterium. Its description in RNAcentral is "bacterial SSU rRNA". It matches the Rfam family "Bacterial small subunit ribosomal RNA", at positions 61 to 524 of the family's 1533-position model. The record is from RNAcentral.
GUCGAGCGGUAGAGAGAAGCUUGCUUCUCUUGAGAGCGGCGGACGGGUGAGUAAUGCCUAGGAAUUUGCCUGGUAGUGGGGGAUAACGUUCGGAAACGGACGCUAAUACCGCAUACGUCCUACGGGAGAAAGCAGGGGACCUUCGGGCCUUGCGCUAUCAGAUGAGCCUAGGUCGGAUUAGCUAGUUGGUGAGGUAAUGGCUCACCAAGGCGACGAUCCGUAACUGGUCUGAGAGGAUGAUCAGUCACACUGGAACUGAGACACGGUCCAGACUCCUACGGGAGGCAGCAGUGGGGAAUAUUGGACAAUGGGCGAAAGCCUGAUCCAGCCAUGCCGCGUGUGUGAAGAAGGUCUUCGGAUUGUAAAGCACUUUAAGUUGGGAGGAAGGGCAGUAAAUUAAUACUUUGCUGUUUUGACGUUACCGACAGAAUAAGCACCGGCUAACUCUGUGCCAGCAGCCGCGGUAAU